GACAUGGUGAAGGGUACAAGAACCCUUAUACGGCCUCAUCCAACUAGCUCAGACGCUAUAUAUCCUAGAGACAAUACCACGACCAGUGAAGAGACCAAAAAUGUUUGUCCUGAAGAAAUGUAAUUGAAGGUACGUGGACUACAAAAAAUAAGAAACGGUGGUGUAAUACUAAGCACUGAUGACCAAGGACGACAUCCAAAAAUUGAAGCAGACUGUCGAGCGUUGCCCCGGUAUGAGGCCACUGCCAGGGAUGGACACUAUGGACAAGUAUUUGCUCUUAUACUCGUGGGAUGUAUAUGGACAAUAAUAUAAAUAACCCAACCAAAAAAGACCAAGAUAGGGAGUGGGAUGCGGACUCGGACUGAGAGUCCGUAUCCAGUGAGGGAACUGCGGGAGCCCCGCAGCAAGAAGGACCACAGGGUCGAGGCCUUCCUCAAGAGGAAGGCGGACGACUUGGGGUCUUCCUCCGGUGGUCGCGGAGCCUCGGCCAAAAAGGCCGAUAGGAGACCCGUUCGCGAGAGGACCUCUGAGGUGCCUGGGGGCAACGGAGGAUCAGCUCCGGGUUGGCUUUAGUAUCGUUUGGCAGGCGGACGGCGCUAAAAGUGGUUAAAUCUGGUAGAGGGUGGGUCCCCGAUUAUAACUCUACCCUUCUCGUUACAAGGUAAUGGAUAUUUUUCGAGAAAUUGACAAAAAAUGUUUCUAAUCUCAAAUCAAUAAAUGUUAUUCGGUGUAAUGGAACGUUAAAAUGGGCGAUCGACAACUAAAUGUGUUUUAGUAUAUUGUCUGUGGUGUACAAAUCCGUGAAAAGGAACGCAAAAAAAUGUCUCUGGUAUUUGCGUUAUGUGUCUUUUUCUUUCGUUCUCUCUGUGCUUCGUGGUGUGUUUUUGUGGAAUUUUUUUUGACGACUUUGGCUUAUACUCUAGACUUUGAUUGAUUGCUUGCGACUGACCUACGCUCGUGUACUGGACAUCGGUUUUUCUGCCUCAUCGACUGACUCUUGCUGUUGAUUGGAACCAUGGCGGAGUUUACAUCAAGCCAUUCUACGGCUGAGGGCGAAGCUCAGCAACCGACGACCCGUUCCAUGAUCGAGGACGAACCUCGGCCAUCCACGAGUCGUUCCGUGGUUGACGACGAACCUCGGCCAUCCACGAGCCGUUCCGUAGUUGAUGACAAACCUCGGUCAUCCACGAGCCGUUCCGUGCCAGAGGACGAACCGAGGCCAUCUACAAGUUGUUCGGACAGUUCAGAGGACGAACCACCUUUCAAGCAAGGGUUAGUUGUGGCGGAAGUGCGUGCAAUGUGGAACUUAGUCAAAGUCUAUCAAAGGCUAGGCACUCGUGAGCAAGCUGUGGCAUUUGCCGAGAAAGAGACAUGAUAAAAAAAGAAAGAAUGUGUAACUAUCACAAAAAAACGAUGACGAUUGAAUACUCAACAAAUAAAACGGUGGGCUUUUUUGUAUGUAAUAGAGAGCCAUGCCGAUCCAAAUCUAAAGUGAGCCGAGGCAAAGGCACUUGCUUGGUUUGACAAUAUUAAAAUAACGAUGCCACAGGUAUUUUACCUUAUGUAUGCCUAUGCAAACAAAUUUAGCUAUGAUCGCACUAAAGAAGACUACACAGAAGGAGAAUACUGCCUCUCUAGCGCAACGAUAAAUGAUUGGUUUAACUACUGCAGAGAGGCAGUUCUUAGCUACCAAAAAAAUAGAGAAGCACUUGCCGGGAAGAUUGGAGGUCCGAGCAAAUUUGUACAAAUUGACGAAAGGGGAAACGGAAAUAUAAUAAAGGUCGUCGAAUUGAAGGCCACUGGAUCCUGGGAAUGAUCCAGGAUGGGAGUGAAGAUCUACGCCUGGAAGUCUGUCCAGACAAUCUUCGCUCCACAGAAAUUCUGGUGCCACUCCUACAAAAACAUGUUGCUGAGGGCACAAUGCGGGCCUAUGAUUGCCUGGGUGAUCAUGGAUUCAUCCACUAUAAGGUGAAUCACAGUCAUCCAGAUAACCCCUUUGUUGCUGAGGAUGGGGCACAUACGCAGCGGAUUGAAUCACAGUGGCGCUUUUUAAAACGUUUUUUUUUUUAGUAAAGACAAUUAUAAUAAUCGUUCAAUUAUUGGUGAUUUGCUCUAUGAAUUUCUAAGGAGAAGAGAAGUAGAAAAGCAAAAUGGUGAUCCUUUUGAGGAAUUAAUAAAUGUUGUGAAUUAUUCAUUGAAUAAAUAAAAAAUGUUAAUAUUUA
Molecule: long non-coding RNA, 2222 nt
Organism: Helicoverpa zea (corn earworm)
Lineage: Eukaryota; Metazoa; Arthropoda; Insecta; Lepidoptera; Noctuidae
Exons: 2
Source: RefSeq, a predicted model, not a curated record